AACGAACGCUGGCGGCAUGCCUAACACAUGCAAGUCGAACGAAGGCUUCGGCCUUAGUGGCGCACGGGUGCGUAACGCGUGGGAAUCUGCCCUUGGGUACGGAAUAACAGCGAGAAAUUGCUGCUAAUACCGUAUGAUGUCGAAAGACCAAAGAUUUAUCGCCUGAGGAUGAGCCCGCGUUGGAUUAGGUAGUUGGUGGGGUAAAGGCCUACCAAGCCGACGAUCCAUAGCUGGUCUGAGAGGAUGAUCAGCCACACUGGGACUGAGACACGGCCCAGACUCCUACGGGAGGCAGCAGUGGGGAAUAUUGGACAAUGGGCGAAAGCCUGAUCCAGCAAUGCCGCGUGAGUGAUGAAGGCCUUAGGGUUGUAAAGCUCUUUUACCCGGGAUGAUAAUGACAGUACCGGGAGAAUAAGCCCCGGCUAACUCCGUG
RNAcentral lists this ribosomal RNA (433 nucleotides) under uncultured bacterium. Its description in RNAcentral is "partial 16S ribosomal RNA". It matches the Rfam family "Bacterial small subunit ribosomal RNA", at positions 29 to 507 of the family's 1533-position model. The record is from RNAcentral.